This 640-nucleotide ribosomal RNA is filed under the name uncultured bacterium. Its description in RNAcentral is "bacterial SSU rRNA". It matches the Rfam family "Bacterial small subunit ribosomal RNA", at positions 22 to 705 of the family's 1533-position model. The record is from RNAcentral.
GCUCAGAACGAACGCUGGCGGCAGGCUUAACACAUGCAAGUCGAACGCUCGGAGCAAUCCGGGAGUGGCAGACGGGUGAGUAACACGUGGGAACGUACCCUUUGGUUCGGAAUAACUCAGGGAAACUUGAGCUAAUACCGGAUACGCCCUUUUUGGGGAAAGGUUGACUGCCGAAGGAUCGGCCCGCGUCCGAUUAGCUUGUUGGUGAGGUAAUGGCUCACCAAGGCAUCGAUCGGUAGCUGGUCUGAGAGGAUGACCAGCCACAUUGGGACUGAGACACGGCCCAAACUCCUACGGGAGGCAGCAGUGGGGAAUAUUGGACAAUGGGCGCAAGCCUGAUCCAGCCAUGCCGCGUGAGUGAUGAAGGCCUUAGGGUUGUAAAGCUCUUUUACCUGGGAAGAUCAUGACGGUACCAGGAGAAUAAGCCCCGGCUAACUUCGUGCCAGCAGCCGCGGUAAUACGAAGGGGGCUAGCGUUGUUCGGAUUUACUGGGCGUAAAGGGCGCGUAGGCGGACCUGUAAGUCAGGGGUGAAAUCCCGAGGCUCAACCUCGGAACUGCCUUUGAUACUGUGGGUCUUGAGUCCGGGAGAGGUGAGUGGGACUGCGAGUGUAGAGGUGAAAUUCGUAGAUAUUCGCAAGA